GCGUAACAAGGUCUCUGUAGGUGAACGUGCGGAGGGAUCAUUACAAGUGACCCCGGUCUAACCACCGGGAUGUUCAUAACCCUUUGUUGUCCGACUCUGUUGCCUCCGGGGCGACCCUGCCUUCGGGCGGGGGCUCCGGGUGGACACUUCAAACUCUUGCGUAACUUUGCAGUCUGAGUAAACUUAAUUAAUAAAUUAAAACUUUUAACAACGGAUCUCUUGGUUCUGGCAUCGAUGAAGAACGCAGCGAAAUGCGAUAAGUAAUGUGAAUUGCAGAAUUCAGUGAAUCAUCGAAUCUUUGAACGCACAUUGCGCCCCCUGGUAUUCCGGGGGGCAUGCCUGUUCGAGCGUCAUUUCACCACUCAAGCCUCGCUUGGUAUUGGGCAACGCGGUCCGCCGCGUGCCUCAAAUCGACCGGCUGGGUCUUCUGUCCCCUAAGCGUUGUGGAAACUAUUCGCUAAAGGGUGCUCGGGAGGCUACGCCGUAAAACAAACCCAUUUCUAAGGUUGACCUCGGAUCAGGUAGGGAUACCCGCUGAA
This 539-nucleotide ribosomal RNA is filed under the name Cladosporium tenuissimum. Its description in RNAcentral is "eukaryotic LSU rRNA". The stretch from base 200 to 353 matches the Rfam family "5.8S ribosomal RNA". The record is from RNAcentral. Lineage: Eukaryota; Fungi; Ascomycota; Dothideomycetes; Cladosporiales; Cladosporiaceae.